Molecule: ribosomal RNA, 423 nt
Filed under: uncultured bacterium
Lineage: Bacteria
Description: bacterial SSU rRNA
Rfam family: Bacterial small subunit ribosomal RNA
Source: RNAcentral
CAAGACCUGCGCUUUUGGAGCGGCCGAUGCCUGAUUAGCUUGUUGGUAAGGUAAAAGCUUACCAAGGCUUCGAUCAGUAGCUGGUCUGAGAGGACGACCAGCCACACUGGGACUGAGACACGGCCCAGACUCCUACGGGAGGCAGCAGUGGGGAAUUUUGGACAAUGGGGGCAACCCUGAUCCAGCCAUGCCGCGUGAGUGAAGAAGGCCUUCGGGUUGUAAAGCUCUUUCAGCCGGAACGAAACGGUUACGGUUAAUACCCGUGACUACUGACGGUACCGGAAGAAGAAGCACCGGCUAACUACGUGCCAGCAGCCGCGGUAAUACGUAGGGUGCGAGCGUUAAUCGGAAUUACUGGGCGUAAAGCGUGCGCAGGUGGUUUUGUAAGUCAGAUGUGAAAGCCCCGGGCUCAACCUGGGAACU